UAAAUUGCGUUAGCUUCUCUUUACUGAGAGGCUAAUUCUUUUCUGUGAACUGGGUGUGACUCGCCCUUUUCUCUCUUUUUUUUUUUCGUCUGUCUUCUUUGCUUUUCGCUUUGCGUUGGGUAUUGUGAGGCAAGCAGGGGAAAGGGGAAGAGAGGUGAGUUGUGCUGGGUGCGUGUGACUUUGUUUUUCUCUCUUUUCACGUUUUCGUUUUGUGGUUGCCUUUUGCUUGCAUUGGGCAGCCAGCCGAGAUGGAGACGUUGGAAGUGGGGGAGGAGCGAGUUGUGCGCACUGCCAUUUGUAGUCUGUUGUGUUCUGUUCUUAAAGUUUUCUGUAAAAAAGA
RNAcentral lists this unclassified non-coding RNA (340 nucleotides) under soil metagenome. RNAcentral's name for it is "partial internal transcribed spacer 1". The record is from RNAcentral.